CCCCUGGGCCCUUGCUUCAAGAGUUGGCAGUGAUCGGGCAUAUUUAGGGACAAUACUUGUGAUUUCCGGGGCUCAGCACCUGCUCUUGGAUCUUCUCAAGGCCUGCUAGAUUUCAGAAUCUCAAAGGUUUGGCCACUGCACUCCCAACCCCUAAGGAAAGGAUGGGAGAUGAAUUAUUAAAGGACACCGGGGCCAUUAGCAUAUCGGGCCUCACCUCUCUGGGGCCCUUGCCCUUGAGCAACUGAAUGUUUUAUUGAAGAGGAAAAAACAUGCACGAAAAAGGCCGGGAAGACUGUCCUUCUGCCAGUGGACAGAUCCCUGUUGAGACCCAUCGGCUCACCGGACACCCCAUUAUUACUGCCGCCUGAUCCCCCAUCAUUGUUCCCUUUCUACCUCGUGACACGUCCCAACACUU
RNAcentral lists this long non-coding RNA (415 nucleotides) under Lynx canadensis (Canada lynx). Its description in RNAcentral is "lncRNA (ENSLCNG00005017430.1)". Lineage: Eukaryota; Metazoa; Chordata; Mammalia; Carnivora; Felidae. The record is from RNAcentral.